GAUGAACGCUGGCGGUGUGCCUAAUACAUGCAAGUCGAGCGGUAACAUGGACUUCGGUCUGAUGACGAGCGGCGGACGGGUGAGUAACGCGUAAGAAUGUACCCCAAACUGAGGGAUAACUGCUCGAAAGAGUAGCUAAUACCGCAUGUGCUCUACGGAGUAAAGCUUCGGCGGUUUGGGAACAGCUUGCGUAGGAUUAGCUAGUUGGUAAGGUAAUGGCUUACCAAGGCGACGAUCCUUAGCUGGUCUGAGAGGAUGAUCAGCCACACCGGGACUGAGACACGGCCCAGACUCCUACGGGAGGCAGCAGUAGGGAAUUUUCCACAAUGGGGGCAACCCUGAUGGAGCAACACCGCGUGCAGGAUGAAGGCCUUCGGGUUGUAAACUGCUUUUGUCUGUGACGAAUAUGACGGUAGCAGACGAAUAAGGAUCGGCUAACUACGUGCCAGCCGCCGCGGUAA
RNAcentral lists this ribosomal RNA (461 nucleotides) under uncultured bacterium. Its description in RNAcentral is "partial 16S ribosomal RNA". It matches the Rfam family "Bacterial small subunit ribosomal RNA", at positions 28 to 523 of the family's 1533-position model. The record is from RNAcentral.